Long non-coding RNA from Branchiostoma belcheri (Belcher's lancelet), 765 nucleotides. RefSeq lists it as uncharacterized. The transcript has 3 exons. Lineage: Eukaryota; Metazoa; Chordata; Leptocardii; Amphioxiformes; Branchiostomatidae. The record is from RefSeq and is a predicted model, not a curated record.
GUAAAUCUUAGUGCCCUGUACACGGUAACUUCCCUCUCUUCAAAGAAGGAGUUGGCAGCGGCCUUUUAAUCCUGACUUGGCCUUGAAUUUUGGCUUUAUUUCUUGGCAUUGAAUCUUUAGCCAAGUGUCAAUGCCAAGAAACAAAGCCAAGAUUCAAAGGCAAGGUUCAGCUGGCUUGGCUUCAUAAGACCUCUUCGGUGCGGCCUCAGUUGAAUGGCGCUUGAAUAACGACCCCGGCAGUCCCAAUCUAAUGGCACCAGUUCCAGCACACGUCUUUUAUUUCCGUAACAACUUAGAAAUGGAAAGGAAAGUGGCUCAUGAAAGCUAAUCGAUCGAUAAAGGAACAAUGUAACUUGUUCCAAGAAAUAGAUACGUUGGCGGUGUGGGAAUAUGAAAACAGUGAAUCCACGUACUCAGUCUUCAUCAAGUUAGUCCUGUGGAAGCAGCCAUUGAAGUUAUCCGUUCAGUGAAGUUCCGAUUGUCGCUGAAACUAUCCAACCACUGUACGAGAUGGCUAUCGGCAUUCCGCGAGUGGAAAACUGUUGCUGUUGUUGUUCCCUCAAGUGUGGAAUCAUCGCUCUCUCUGUUGUGUUCAUGGUAUUUACGUUGAUGAAUCUUGUAGUGUCUAUUUUCAUUGUGGGUAGAGUUGGAGUCUCCAACCCUUCUAUUGAGGACGAAGGGGACCGUAAGUACCUAAUAACCUCCAAACUCCAGCCAAAGUAGGUUGUUGAUAACAAGCGUGUAACGCUAAUUCUCGAUCAAUGC